UUGUAAGAAGGUUGUAAGAGGGGUAUUUGGUCCUUCCCCUUCAAAGUGAUUUGCUGGUGGAAGUUGGGAGCCUCAUCGAAGAAGGCUUCGAAAGUAGAUGUAGGUCAUUUGACCGAACCACUAUACAUCGUGGUAUUCCUUGAAUGUGUUAGUGUUUAAUUUUCUGAACCAUUUCUCUACUUAGCUGCAAAUCAUUCGGUUUUCAUCUCCCUACUCUUGACUACCUUUACUCGAGCUAUUUUAGCUAAGUCAUCCUUCGUCGAAUCGAAAUCUCAACACAUUUACGAAAUCGAUUUUAAACUUACGAGUUUUAAUCCGCUGCACUAAUUUACACCCCCCACCCCUCUUAGUGCCGCUCCGAUCCCAACAAUUGGUAUCAGAGCAAGGCUCACUCUCAUAUUUGGUUUAAUACCCAAGAGAGAUGGCUUACUCCGGCAUGCAAGAGGGUCACUCUAUUACACGUCCGCCUAUGUUUAAUGGGUCGGAUUACACGUAUUGGAAGACUCAUUUGAGGAUCUUCCUUAUUUCCAUGGAUUUUGAACUUUGGAAUAUUGUCGAAAAUGGAUUUAAAAAAUCUUCUCUUCCGAUGAGCGAAUGGGAUGAAUCGGAGAAGAAGGUUUUUGCUUUAAACGCAAAGGCUAUGAAUGCCUUGUUUUGUGCACUUGACAAAAAUGAAUUUAAUCGCGUUUCGAUUUGUGAUUCGACUUUUGAUAUUUGGAGAACUCUUGAGGUCGCUCAUGAAUGCACUAGCCGAGUAAAAGAGUCCAAAAUCAACAUUCUUGUGCAUUCUUACGAACUUUUCCGGAUAAAACCAAGUGAGUCCAUCGGAGACAUAUACACCCGUUUCACAUAUGUCAUCAAUGGACUCAAAGCUCUUGGUAAAGGUUUUUCUAACUUUGAACUAGUAACUAAAAUUUUAAGAUCCCUUCCAAAGAGUUGGGAUCCAAAAGUUACAGCCAUUCAAGAGGCCAAGGACUUUAAAACAUUUCCUCUCGAAGAACUUAUUGGGUCUCUAAUGACCUACGAAAUGACGUGCCAUGAUCAUGAAUAGCUCGAGAACCCCCUUCCAAAGAACAGGAAGGAUAUGAUACUUAGAACACAAGAAGACCACUUGAAAGGAACAUCAAGUGAUGAGGACAGUGACGAUGACGUUGCACUUUUAACUCGAAAAUUUAAAAAAUUUAUAAGAAAGAACAAAUUUAAAAAUGACACCAAAAACAAACUUGAACAUAAAAAGGACCAAGUAAUAUGCUACGAAUACAAGAAGCCGGGGCACUUCAAAAAUAAAUGCCCCCAAGCCAAGAAGAAGCAACCAAAGAAGAAGAAAGCUUUAAAAGCGACUUGGGAUGACUCAAGUGAUUUCGAGAAUGAAGAAGCUAACAACAAAGAGGAGGCAAACUUCGCGCUAAUGACUUUAGGAGGAGAGGUAUGUGAUUUAAUUAAUGAAGAUUUAUCUUUCGAUGAACUUUCUAUCGCUUUUCACAAAUUAUUUGAUGAGUGUAGAACUAUUAGUAAGAAGUUCAAUCUAUUAAAGAAAGAGCAUGCCUUACUACAAAAUAAGCUUGAUAGUCUUCAAACUCCUCCAUGUUCUAAGUGUGAACACUUAGAAGCAAUAAAAAAUGAGAAUUUACUACUUAAGGAGACCUUAAACAAGUUUAAGGUCGGUAGUAAAGGCUUGGACAGGAUCCUUGCAAACAAGGGUCACGUCGCAAAUAGAAGUGGAAUUGGUUUUGUGAGAGGAUCUCACCAAAAUCCUACCACCUUCAUUAAAGGACCCGCAUUACAUGUUUCACCUCAUUUGAAAUGCAACUUUUAUUGUAAAUCCGGACAUGUUGUUUACAAAUGUCCAUUUAAGAAAAUUAGUCCACAUAAGUUGAUAUGGGUUCCUAAAGGAACUAUAAAUAAUUCAAUGAUGAAUGACAAAAUUAGUAGAUCAAUUUUUUAGGUACCCAAAAUCAAAUGGGUACCUAAAAACCAUCCUCUUUUGUAGACAAACUCACAAGCUAGGAGCAAGAGAUGGUAUCUUGAUAGUGGAUGCUCAAGGCAUAUGACCGGAGAUCCAUCUCAUUUCUCUAUGCUCACUAGCAAAGAAGAAGAGUAUGUCACCUUCGGAGACAACAAUAAAAGUAAAAUCAUUGGCAAGGGAACCAUAGGUAACAAAUCAAAAUUUUCAAUUGAUGAUGUGUUGCUAGUUGAUGGAUUAAAACAUAAUCUCUUAAGCAUUAGUCAAUUAUGCGAUAAAGGUUACAUCGUUAGAUUUAAAUCUAAUGUGUGCAUUAUUGAAAAACCAAACAAUAACAUAUCAAUGAUUGCCUUAAAACAAAAUAAUGUCAACAUCAUCAACCUUAAUGAACUUAGUAAUGAAAUAUGCUUUUCCGCUUUAAAUGAUGAUGCUUGGCUUUGGCAUAGGAGAUUAGGUCAUGCAAGUAUGAAACUAAUAUCUAAGAUUUCAUCUAGAGAGUUAGUACGAGAGAUUCCCAAUAUGAAGUUUAUUAAGGACAAAGUGUGUGAUGCUUGUCAACUAAGAAAAUAAAUAAAAACUAGUUUCAAACCAAAAAAUCAAAUUAGCACCACUAGAUCAUUGCAAUUGAUUCAUUUGGACUUAUUUGAACCAAUUGACACAACGAGUCUAGGAAGAAGCAAAUAUGCCUUCAUAAUUGUAGAUGACUAUAGUAGAUAUACUUGGACCUAUUUCUUGGCUCACAAAAGUGAUUGUUUCAAAUGUUUCUCUAAAUUUUGUAAACUUACUCAAAACGAAAAAGGCUUCAUUAUUUCAUCAAUUCGGAGUGAUCACGAUGGCGAAUUUCAAAACCGUGACUUCCAAAGUUUUUGUGAAUCUAAUGGAUAUAACUACAACUCCACUUCGAGAAAUCCUCAACAAAAUGGGGUAGUUGAAAGAAAAAAUAAAAAUUUACAAGAAAUGGCAAGAACCAUGUUAAAUGAACAUAUUCUAUCUAAGUAUUUUUGGACCGAAACCGUUAAUACGGCUUGCUAUGUCAUGAAUAGGGUUCUAAUAAAACCAUCUCUAUCAAAAACUCUCUAUAAAUUAUGGAAUAACAAAAAACCAAAUGUUUCUUAUUUUAACAUUUUCAGUUGCAAAUGCUUUAUUUUGAAUGAAAAUGAUGCCUUAGGAAAAUUUGAUGCUAAAUCCAAUGAAGGCAUCUUUCUUUGUUAGUCUUCCGUUUUUAAGACUUUUCGUGUUUUUAACAAAAGAACUUUAGUUAUAGAAGAAUCUAUUCAUAUAGUUUUUAAUGAAAUUUUUGAGUUAAAGAAAAAUGAUUUUGAUGAUGAUCUUGGUUUUGAUAAUUUGAAUUUAAAUGAACCCCCUCCUCAAAAUAGCAACUUGGAUACAUCUUCUUCCGAAAUUUCCUUACCCAAGGAAUGGAAGUAUGUAGAUACUCAUCCAAAGGAGCUAAUUAUAGGAGAUACAUCAAAAGGGGUUCAAACUUGUUCUUCCUUCAAGAAUUUUUGUGCUAACGCCGCCUUCCUUUCUCAAAUUGAACCUAAAUGCAUUGACGAAGCCUUGAAAGAUGAUUCAUGGGUUAUUGCAAUGCAAGAGGAAUUAAACCAAUUUGAGAGGAAUGAGGUAUAGAAGCUUGUUCCUAGACCUAGUGACCAUUUAGUCAUUGGUACUAAAUGGAUCUUUAGAAACAAGCAAGAUGAAUGCGGUAUCGUGAUUAGAAACAAGGCUAAACUAGUGGCCAAAGGUUUCAACCAAGAAGAAGGUAUCGACUACGAAGAGACCUUUGCUCCUGUGGCAAGAUUAGAAGCCAUUAAUUAGGAUGCUCCUUGCCUAUGCUAGUAGUAAUGAUUUUAAACUAUUUUAAAUGGAUGUCAAAAGUGCUUUCUUAAAUGGUUUUAUUUCCGAAGAAGUGUAUGUUGAACAACCUCCCGGAUUUGAAAAUUCUCUUCUUCCUAAUCAUGUAUUUAAAUUGACUAAGGCUCUUUAUAACUUAAAACAAGCUCCUAGAGCUUGGUAUGAAAGGCUUAGUUCCUUUCUUAUUUUAAAUAAUUUUACAAAAAGUAAGGUUGAUACUACAUUGUUUAUCAAACAUUUUGAAAAUAAUUUUCUUAUUGUUCAAAUUUAUGUUGACGAUAUUAUUUUUUGUUCUUCGGAUGAAUCACUAUGUGAAUCAUUUGCCAAGUGUAUGAGUCAUGAAUUUGAAAUGAGCCUAAUGGGAGAACUAACCUUCUUUUUAGGAUUGCAAAUUAAACAACUUAGUAAUGGUAUAUUUCUUGAUCAAUCUAAAUAUACAUUAGAAUUGUUAAAACGAUUUAACAUGGAUGGUUCAAAAACUAUAAACACUCCUAUGAGUACUUCCACUAAGUUAGACAUGGAUGAAAGUGGUGAAAACUUUGAUCAAAAAAAAUAUAGGGGAAUGAUUGGUAGUUUACUUUACCUCAUCGCAACUAGACCGGAUAUCAUGUUUAGUGUAGGACUUUGUGCUAGGUUUAAAGCUAAUCCUAAAUUAUCUCGUCUUAAAUGUGUUAAAAGAAUCCUUAGAUAUCUUAAAGGAUCUCCUAAUUUUUUAUUAUGAUAUCUAAAAUCCGAUAAUUUUGAUUUAAUAGCUUAUGCAGAUGCCGAUUUUGACGGAUGUAGGAUAGAUAAAAAAAACACAUCCGGAACAUGUCAAUUUUUAGGACAUGCACUUGUUUCUUGAACUUCCAAGAAACAAAAUUCGGUUGCCUAUAAUAUUUGUGUCUCACCCGAUGAAGAAAUAAUCCAGAUCGAUCAAUUUAACACUAUCAACAGAAUCCUACUCAAGAGACUUAGGUGCGCUUUUGGCAAUGGUAUAUGGAUUAAGCAACCUAGAAGGACUGAUCCAGUUCCCCCACCAGUAAAACACCCUGAAACACCCAUUUUUAAGGGAAAUGAAUCUCCUCCUCCUAGUCCCUUUGGUGCAGCACCUUCAGAACCAGCUCCUGCUUCAUCUUCUGAAUAUCCCAUAACGGCAGAAUUAAAUCAAAUCAAAUUACAACAAGAGCAACUCAAAUCACAGCAAGAGCAAAUCCAUUUACAGCAAGUUGAAAUUUUGAGGGAACUACGACAGAUGAACCAGAAGAUAAAUGCCAUGUAUAAGAACUCUGGAAUUCCUCCUAAGGAAUAAUCGUUGUGUUAAACCUUUCUUAUUAUUGUAAACCUCUAUGCUACUUUGACAUGCGUUUGACAUUAUCCUAGUAUAUGAUGUUGGAUGUUUCUUUCCGAAAUUUUGCCAACAUUUUGAUGGCACCUUCAUGUUAUUUUGGAUGAUUUGAUGUCUUCCUUGAAUGAUCAAUCUUAAUGCCAAGUUGAAGCUUUGUCAAUUUUGACAUCUCCUUUUUAAGAUUUUUUUUCUUAUGAGAUGAUUUUAUAAAUGGCUUCAAUGAUCACGAGUUUUAUGCUUAAAAACUCAUCUCCUUUUUGUUGAUGAGAAAGAGGGAGAAAAAUGUGCAAAAGAUUGAUGACUUGUGCAAAUAUGAAAUUAGCAUGACUUAUAUGUAUCGUAUUGCAAUAGCUUAUAUGUUGUAUAAUGCAAUGAAAAAUGUCUUAUAUGUGUUAUAUUCCUUAAAAGUAUCGCAAAACUUUUUUAACAUAUCGUAUAUGAAAGUUUUUAGAUUGGUUGUCGUAUCAUGUUUAUCAUUUUUUUAUAUAUAUGAUAAGCAAUCAUCUCAUGAUCAUAUGAAAUCAUACCUUGUAUUUAUAUCAUGAGAUCCAUGUUGAAAUUUUAAAUUAUUAUUAUUUCUUAUCGAAAUGAUAAUUAUCAUUUAUCAUUCGGCUUGAAAAUAAUUUUCAUGCCUUGAAAUUAUGAGAAAUACGAAGUUUCGUAUUUGCUCAUGCUUAUUAAGAAUAACGAUAAGUUCAACGGAUAGAACUUAUCGGUUUAGGCUUUAAUUCAAAGAGAUUGAAUUCAAGUGUUUUUAUCUUCUCAUAAUAUGACAUAUAGAUAGGGGGAGUUAUGAUUAACUUCGUCAUCAAUUGAUUGUCAACAUAAAAAAUGGGGAGAUUGUUGAAUCUCGGAUUUUGAUGAUGAAGUCAAUUGAUGGGUUAAUUGAUCUAAUCCAUAUUAUUGAGUUAAGUGUGCAGGAUUAACUACGAUAGCUUGAAGACAUAAAGCAAGUUUACCGGAGUCAAGUUCGAUGGGUGUUCAAGAGUCCGCCGAAAGUCCAAAGAAUCGUCGGAAGUGCUGUUGGAACCAACCAAGAAAGAAUCAGGGACUUGCCGAAGUUUUCGGAAGUCCGCCGGAAAGAUCGUCAGAGGUUCGCGGAGAUCACCGAGAAGGUUCGGAUACUUGCCAAAGACUCGUUGAACUCGCCACAAGACCAGGAGCCUACCGGGAGUCCGCCGGAAGAAAUCCGAGGGUGUAUCGGUAGUCCGCCGGAUGUUCGCCGGAAAGCUCGCUAGAAGGAAACUCGACGUUGCUGAUUAAAAAUUUGCUUAGGGCUAUAUCUUAAUUUCGUAGUUUGCAUAUAAUUUGGGUUAGGAUUAAGGGUUAAUCCCAUAACCCGGUUAGGAGCCAAUUAGACCCGAGUUUGGACUGGUUUGGGCCAAGUUUGGAGCCCAACCAGUGAGCUGGAACAGUCCAGGCGAUGGCACCGCCGGACUGGGCAGUGGCACCGCCCAGAACCCGAGAGGUCCGGCGGUGGCACCACCAAUAUACUAUCGGUGUCAGACACUGACAGGCGGUGGCACCGCCACUGAUAGGCGGUGGCACCGCCAGCACCGGGAAACCCAAAAGUAAUUCAAAUUUGGAGCCUAAAUUUGAAUCCUCUUGGGGCCUAUAAAUACCCCUCAAUUCUCAGUAGAGAUGACACCUUUUUGAGAAGUUAGAAAGUGAGAAAAAGCUCUAGCAAAGUCUUGUUUUCAAUAGCUUAAGUGUUCACCUCCCUCUUUCUCUUUGAAAAAAAUCUGUAAGAGUGUGAACCACUUGUAAGAAGGUUGUAAGAGGGGUAUUUGGUCCUUUCCCUUCAAAGUGAUUUGCUAGUGGAAGUUGGGAGCCUCAUCGAAAAAGGCUUCGAAAGUAUAUGUAGGUAAUUUGACCAAACCACUAUACAUCGUGGUGUUCCUUAAAUGUAUGAGUGUUCAAUUUUCUGAACCAUUUCUCUACUUAGCUGCAAAUCGUUCGGUUUUCAUCUCCCUACUCUUGACUACCUUUACUCGAGCUAUUUUAGCUAAGUCAUCCUUCGUCGAAUCGAAAUCUCUACACAUUUACAAAAUCGAUUUCAAACUUACGAGUUUUAAUCCGCUGCACUAAUUCACCCCCUCCCCCCUUAGUGCCGCUCCGAUCCUAACAGUACCGCCCAGACACAGUCUUCUAGGCGGUGGUACCGCCCAAUGUCAGGCUACAAGCGAUGUUAACGCCCAGUGCAGACGAUGGUACCGCCCAGUGCAGGCAGUGGUACCGCCCAAUGCAGGCGGUGGUACCACCCGUACCCUGAAAUUUCAGAGGAUUUGAAUUUUGGCUCCAUUUUUCAAGUCAUUUGGGGUCCAUAAAAAUCCUAGCUAUUCUUGCAUAGAGAAGCAAAAAAAGUGAACAAAAACUCUGUGUUUCUAAAGUUGAAAACCCUUGUAAAGUAUAUAGUCCCUCAUCCUAAAGUUUAGAAAUCAUUCUAAGAGAGAGUGUGAGGGAAGCUUUGUAAAAAGGGGGUGUAAAGGUUCUCUCCUAAGCCUGCAAAAGGAGAAUAAAGUUGUAAGAAGGAGGUUGAUCUUCGCCUAUUAAAGGAAGAUCAUUAGUGGAUGUUGGUGGCUUCGAUGAAAGGGGAUUCAGCGGAGUGGAUGGAGGUCACGGCGACCGAACCACUAUAAAAACUUGGUUUGCAUUUCUAUUCUUGCUAUUUACCUUCACUGCAAACUACUUACUUGCUUUACUUUCAUUACACUUACGAAUACAAUUUCAAAGUUAACAUCUUUCCGAAACGAUUUUCAUCGAAAUCAGUUUUAAUCGAACGAAGAUUUUUUAAACCGACGUAAUCUUUCCGCUGCACUAAUUCACCCCCCCUCUUAGUGCCGACUCGUUCCUAACACCUAGUUGUUGCCUUUUCAUAACAAAUCAAUAUGUAAAUUUCAUGCUAUUAUUUCAGAAGAGCAACUGAAAUUUUAAGUUAGAACACUUCAACAAAAAGUAACAAAUGGCAUUAGUGAACUUCUAUCUUUUGAAAUUUCCGCAAGAAGCUCAUCUUUAUCCUUCAACUUAUACAAAACUCAAGACAAAAGGCUCUUACAAACAAGGUUCGUCUUACCGAUCCCGAUCCGUACUAGUAUACCAACUAGUCAUCAGUGUAGUACAUGUCGAGGCAUACCAACU
Molecule: long non-coding RNA, 8282 nt
Filed under: Musa acuminata (dwarf banana)
Lineage: Eukaryota; Viridiplantae; Streptophyta; Magnoliopsida; Zingiberales; Musaceae
Description: long non-coding RNA (MACU_LNC003952)
Source: RNAcentral